This is a non-coding RNA of Cordylochernes scorpioides, 77 nucleotides long. Lineage: Eukaryota; Metazoa; Arthropoda; Arachnida; Pseudoscorpiones; Chernetidae. The record is from the annotation of a GenBank genome assembly.
ACCGUUUGCUUUUGGGUAAGUGGUAGAAUGCUCGCCUGCCACGCGGGCGCCCCGGGUUCGAUUCCCGGCCGAUGGUU